AUGACGGAGGCUCUCACUGAUAAAUAUUUGGGCUUACCAGCAAAUGUGGGUGUUGAUAAAACAGACUGCUUUAGUUUUCUGAUUGAACGUAUUGGUAAGAGAAUUAGUGGUUGGAAGGAAAAAUUACUAUCUGCCGGGGGAAAGGAGAUCCUAUUAAAGGCGGUGAUCCAAGCCAUACCUACCUAUGCAAUGUCGGUCUUCAAAAUUCCUAAAAAAAAUUGUAAAGGAAUCAUAGACGCGUUGGCGCAUUUCUGGUGGGGAGACGAGGAGAACCAGAAGAGGAUGCAUUGGAUGGCCUGGUGAAAAAUGUGUGUACCAAAAAACCAUGGAGGAAUGGGAUUCCGUGACAUCCACUGUUUCAACCUGGCUCUGCUUGCAAAACAGGCAUGGCGUCUCCUUGAUAAUCCUGACUCCUUGUGUGCGACUAUUCUAGGGGCCAAGUACUAUCCUAAUGGUGAUUUGCUGAACUCCAAGCCAAAGCAUGGUGCUUCCUUCACAUGGCAAAGUAUUAUGGUUGGCAUCAAUACUCUCAAGCGAGGUUAUAUUUGGCGAGUGGGGGAUGGACAUAACAUUAACAUUUGGGAAGAUGCAUGGAUCCCAAAUUGUGCCACUAGGAAGAUUGUGACCCCUAGGGGGGCAUCUGUUAUCAAAAGUCGUAGAUUUCAUUGA
RNAcentral lists this ribosomal RNA (669 nucleotides) under Triticum aestivum (bread wheat). RNAcentral describes it as "partial small subunit ribosomal RNA". Lineage: Eukaryota; Viridiplantae; Streptophyta; Magnoliopsida; Poales; Poaceae. The record is from RNAcentral.